This 800-nucleotide ribosomal RNA is filed under the name Pseudomonas sp. RMAN4. RNAcentral describes it as "bacterial SSU rRNA". It matches the Rfam family "Bacterial small subunit ribosomal RNA", at positions 65 to 859 of the family's 1533-position model. Lineage: Bacteria; Pseudomonadati; Pseudomonadota; Gammaproteobacteria; Pseudomonadales; Pseudomonadaceae. The record is from RNAcentral.
AGCGGUAGAGAGAAGCUUGCUUCUCUUGAGAGCGGCGGACGGGUGAGUAAUGCCUAGGAAUCUGCCUGGUAGUGGGGGAUAACGUUCGGAAACGGACGCUAAUACCGCAUACGUCCUACGGGAGAAAGCAGGGGACCUUCGGGCCUUGCGCUAUCAGAUGAGCCUAGGUCGGAUUAGCUAGUUGGUGGGGUAAUGGCUCACCAAGGCGACGAUCCGUAACUGGUCUGAGAGGAUGAUCAGUCACACUGGAACUGAGACACGGUCCAGACUCCUACGGGAGGCAGCAGUGGGGAAUAUUGGACAAUGGGCGAAAGCCUGAUCCAGCCAUGCCGCGUGUGUGAAGAAGGUCUUCGGAUUGUAAAGCACUUUAAGUUGGGAGGAAGGGUUGUAGAUUAAUACUCUGCAAUUUUGACGUUACCGACAGAAUAAGCACCGGCUAACUCUGUGCCAGCAGCCGCGGUAAUACAGAGGGUGCAAGCGUUAAUCGGAAUUACUGGGCGUAAAGCGCGCGUAGGUGGUUUGUUAAGUUGGAUGUGAAAUCCCCGGGCUCAACCUGGGAACUGCAUUCAAAACUGACUGACUAGAGUAUGGUAGAGGGUGGUGGAAUUUCCUGUGUAGCGGUGAAAUGCGUAGAUAUAGGAAGGAACACCAGUGGCGAAGGCGACCACCUGGACUAAUACUGACACUGAGGUGCGAAAGCGUGGGGGAGCAAACAGGAUUAGAUACCCUGGUAGUCCACGCCGUAAACGAUGUCAACUAGCCGUUGGAAGCCUUGAGCUUUUAGUGGCGCAGCUAACGCA